UUUAUAUGAGAGUUUGAUCCUGGCUCAGGAUGAACGCUGGCGGUGUGCCUAAUACAUGCAAGUCGAACGCGUUGGCCCAAUUGAUUGAUGGUGCUUGCACCUGAUUGAUUUUGGUCGCCAACGAGUGGCGGACGGGUGAGUAACACGUAGGUAACCUGCCCAGAAGCGGGGGACAACAUUUGGAAACAGAUGCUAAUACCGCAUAACAACGUUGUU
This 216-nucleotide ribosomal RNA is filed under the name Limosilactobacillus fermentum. RNAcentral describes it as "Lactobacillus fermentum partial 16S ribosomal RNA". It matches the Rfam family "Bacterial small subunit ribosomal RNA", at positions 1 to 186 of the family's 1533-position model. Lineage: Bacteria; Bacillati; Bacillota; Bacilli; Lactobacillales; Lactobacillaceae. The record is from RNAcentral.